Long non-coding RNA from Dermochelys coriacea (leatherback sea turtle), 1746 nucleotides. RefSeq lists it as uncharacterized. Lineage: Eukaryota; Metazoa; Chordata; Testudines; Dermochelyidae. The transcript is spliced from 2 exons. The record is from RefSeq and is a predicted model, not a curated record.
CGUUAUAAUAUCCCCUCCAGUCCAACAUAAAAGAUCUUAUUACACACAGAGUCCGGCUCAGAGAGGAAAACCCAUGCCAGAGAUCUGUUUGCUUCGUUAGGCAUCACUUUUGUUGUUUGUUCCCAAAUUAACUCCACUUAGUCACCCUUGAAAAAAUAUCUCAUGACAUGACACUGCUGGUUCAGUCCAAGAAAAACGAAGAUGUGGAUGAAAGGGCACGUGUCUAGUUCAGAGGAAGGUUUAACAACAAGUUCUGUUAUCCACACAUGCCAAGGCUCCCAAGCUCGUGUGGGAGUCAAAUGUAUCUGGCCCAUGCUUCCUGCCUGCAUACUCUGGCCUCCUGCAUUGAGAAGCUCCCCUCACCUCUACCGCUGGCUGCUGCGGUGCUGGGCAGCAGACCGAGUCCUCUUCUCCUUUGGAGCAACUGACUGAGCGCAUUGUGCACUGCCUCUGCUCCUCCCUUGCACACCUCCCACACUAGGCCUGGAUGCAAGGCAGGCAGAAGUCGGAGAAGCACUGCUCCAUCACUGGGGUGGAAGAAGAGUAUCAUCUGGCCCUGGAGCAACAAGUAAACUACCCUAGAGCCACAGGAGGAAGGCAAUCCGGUCCUCCAGGAGAAACAAAAAUAACCAGCAAUUUGAGUGGAAGGAGCGAGAAAAGGAAACCUUUGAAGGGAAGAGAUGGUGGAAGUGCCACAAAAACAGUGGAGAGGAGAGUAGGUUUGCUGUCCGCCCACAUGAGAUUGGAGAGUUUUGAAUACUUCGAUAAGACACACCAAUGACAUUUAGAAGACAUGGUACAACCAUCCAUCCCAAGGAAGGAUUCCUCGCAAAAACAUGGUGGUACCACUGCGGAUGGGACACCUUAAAGCUAGCAGACACUUAACGCAGUCUCUGCCUUUCUGUGCUCUGGAUCAGACAACUGCACGCGUCUCCCCAGCAAGUAAAGACAACACUGUGCAGACGAGGCACUGCCUGCUUAGCUGUUCACUGCCCUAGGAAAAGCAGGUUGUUAGUUAAUAAGUUUCACCUGGAUAACUAUUUCUGCUGGCCUCACAAAGCAUUUUCUUUGUUAACACAAGGAAAACAGCUCCCUGCUGCCAAGUGGGGCAGCAGUACAGAAUAGGACAGCGUGAUCUCCGCUUUCAGUUACAGAGUUUUCUAUUCACACUACCUGAACCUGCAUGUUAACCCCCUUCCAUGCCCUAUGUGGGGCAUUUACCAAAAAUGUCCCAGGUUUUACAAAGGCUAUCAUUCAGCUUUUACUGAUUUUCACUGGAAUUUUGAACCACUUAAAUACAAAACAAAGUGCCAGAACUCCCCGAACCCAGCUCCCCACUUUGGAAGGAGACAGUAGCUCACUAAUCUAGGCCACCCAGGUUACUGAGCUGCCACCUCAUCUUCCAGAGCGGGGAGCUGGGUCAGAAGUAUUCUUAUAUUUCUCUGUUGUUGUUUUCUAUCCUCCUGUCCCCCAAUAUUUACCCAGAAUACUAUUAAGUUCUUUUUUUAACCGAUUUUCACCCAUUUUUUAUUUCUUUUUAAACCAACGCCGAUAAAUUCUCAGGAAAUUUUAAAAUAAAACCUGAAAACAAAAGGCCUUACCUAGGUGCUCCCAGCAGGCUGUUAAGCAACACUGCCUCAGGGGUUUCAGCACUGCAGCCAUUAAGCCUUUGUGUUACACCUUUGUUUCCCCUGAAUAGACACUUGUAUGCAAUGGAUAUUAAACCUUUACCAACUUUCCGCUACA